RNAcentral lists this transfer RNA (73 nucleotides) under Candidatus Roizmanbacteria bacterium. Its description in RNAcentral is "tRNA-Lys". It matches the Rfam family "tRNA". From Rfam's summary of the family: Transfer RNA (tRNA) molecules are approximately 80 nucleotides in length. The record is from RNAcentral. Lineage: Bacteria; Candidatus Roizmaniibacteriota.
GGGCCCGUAGCUCAAUUGGCAGAGCAAUUCCCUCUUAAGGAAUAGGUUGAGCGUUCGAUUCGCUCCGGGCUCA